AAAGACAUGGGUUGAGUCCUACCAUUCC
Molecule: non-coding RNA, 28 nt
Filed under: Homo sapiens (human)
Lineage: Eukaryota; Metazoa; Chordata; Mammalia; Primates; Hominidae
Source: RNAcentral